This 253-nucleotide ribosomal RNA is filed under the name uncultured bacterium. RNAcentral's name for it is "partial 16S ribosomal RNA". It matches the Rfam family "Bacterial small subunit ribosomal RNA", at positions 524 to 776 of the family's 1533-position model. The record is from RNAcentral.
UACGUAUGGUGCGAACGUUGUUCGGAAUCACUGGGCAUAAAGAGCACGUAGGCGGUUAAGCAAGUCCAUUGUGAAAUCCCCCGGCCUAACCGGGGAACUGCAUUGGAUACUACUUGACUUGAGUGCAGGAGGGGAGAGUGGAAUUCCAGGUGGAGCGGUGAAAUGCGUAGAUAUCUGGAGGAACGCCGGCGGCGAAAGCGACUCUCUGGUCUGUAACUGACGCUGAGGUGCGAAAGCCAGGGGAGCAAACGGG